CCUACGGGAGGCUGCAGUGGGGAAUAUUGCACAAUGGGGGAAACCCUGAUGCAGCGACGCCGCGUGAGUGAAGAAGUAUCUCGGUAUGUAAAGCUCUAUCAGUAGGGAAGAAAAAAGACGGUACCUGACUAAGAAGCCCCGGCUAACUACGUGCUAGCAGCCGCGGUAAUACGUAGGUGGCAAGCGUUACCCGGAUUUACUGGGUGUAAAGGGAGCGUAGACGGCGCGGCAAGUCUGAAGUGAAAGGCAGGGGCUUAACCCCUGAACUGCAUUGGAAACUGCCAUGCUAGAGUGCUGGAGAGGUAAGUGGAAGUCCUGGUGUAGCAGUGAAAUGCGUAGAUAUUGGGAGGAACACCAGUGGCGAAGGCGGGUUACUGGACAGUAACUGACGUUGAGGCUCGAAGGCGUGGGGAGCGAACGGGAUUAGAUACCCUUGUAGUC
Molecule: ribosomal RNA, 441 nt
Filed under: uncultured bacterium
Lineage: Bacteria
Description: partial 16S ribosomal RNA
Rfam family: Bacterial small subunit ribosomal RNA
Source: RNAcentral